RNAcentral lists this microRNA precursor (124 nucleotides) under Hordeum vulgare. RNAcentral describes it as "microRNA MIR1122". It matches the Rfam family "MIR1120/MIR1122 microRNA precursor family". Lineage: Eukaryota; Viridiplantae; Streptophyta; Magnoliopsida; Poales; Poaceae. The record is from RNAcentral.
AUCAUACUACCUCCGUCCGGAAAUACUUGUCCUAGAGAUGAAUGUAUCUAGACUUAUUUUAAUUGUAGAUACAUCCAUUAUAUGCAUUUUUAGGACAAAUAUUUCCGGACGGAGGGAGUAUUAA